This 305-nucleotide ribosomal RNA is filed under the name uncultured bacterium. Its description in RNAcentral is "bacterial SSU rRNA". It matches the Rfam family "Bacterial small subunit ribosomal RNA", at positions 334 to 632 of the family's 1533-position model. The record is from RNAcentral.
UUUUCCUACGGGGGGCAGCAGUAGGGAAUCUUCCACAAUGGGCGAAAGCCUGAUGGAGCAACGCCGCGUGGGGGAAGAAGGUCUUCGGAUCGUAAAACCCUGUUGUUAGAGAAGAAAGUGCGUGAGAGUAACUGUUCACGUUUCGACGGUAUCUAACCAGAAAGCCACGGCUAACUACGUGCUAGCAGCCGCGGUAAUACGUAGGUGGCAAGCGUUAUCCGGAUUUAUUGGGUUUAAAGGGUGCGCAGGCGGUCUGUUAAGUCAGUGGUCAAAGCCCGGGGCUCAACCCCGGCCCGCCGUUGAAA